GACGAACGCUGGCGGCGCGCUUAACACAUGCAAGUCGAACGGAAAGGCCUGCUUUCCCUUGUGGAUUGCGGGUACUCGAGUGGCGAACGGGUGAGUAACACGUGAGUGAUCUGCCCCCAACUUGGGUAUAAGCCUGGGAAACUGGGUCUAAUUCCCGAUAGGACUGCAGGGUGGUGCCUGUGGUGGAAAACGAUUUUCUAGUGGAUGGGGAUGAGCUCGCGGCCUAUCAGCUUGUUGGUGGGGUAAUGGCCUACCAAGGCGGCGACGGGUAGCCGGCCUUGGAGGGUGGACGGCCACAUUGGGACGGAGAUACGGCCCAGACUCCUACGGGAGGCAGCAGUGGGGAAUAUUGGAUGAUGGUCGGAAUCCUGAUGCAGCGACGCCGCGUGGGGGAUGACGGCCUUCGGGUUGUAAACUCCUUUCGACCGCGAGGAAGCCACCUGGUUGGAAGGGUGGUGACGGUAGUGGUAGAAGAAGCACCGGCUAACUACGUG
RNAcentral lists this ribosomal RNA (494 nucleotides) under uncultured bacterium. RNAcentral describes it as "partial 16S ribosomal RNA". It matches the Rfam family "Bacterial small subunit ribosomal RNA", at positions 28 to 507 of the family's 1533-position model. The record is from RNAcentral.